This 209-nucleotide long non-coding RNA is filed under the name Mytilus galloprovincialis (Mediterranean mussel). Lineage: Eukaryota; Metazoa; Mollusca; Bivalvia; Mytilida; Mytilidae. The record is from RNAcentral.
CGAUCAUCUUAAGUAAAAGUUACGAUCAUCGUUGAUAAAAAUAAAUAACAGUUACGAUCAUCAUCGUGAUUUUUUGUUUCUCGAUUUUCAUUCUUGUUGUUGCUUUUCCAUCCGGUCCGAAAAAAUAUUUCAAUGGCAAUGCUUAUAAAGAUGUUUCUUGACAUAAUACAAAUCUGAAAAUAAGCUGUUAAAGUGGAGAAAUCAGCCUU